CGGGGCGUGGCGCAGUCUGGUCAGCGCGGCUGCUUUGGGAGCAGCAGGCCGGAGGUUCAAAUCCUCUCGCCCCGACCA
Molecule: transfer RNA, 78 nt
Filed under: Deltaproteobacteria bacterium
Lineage: Bacteria; Pseudomonadati; Myxococcota; Myxococcia
Description: tRNA-Pro
Rfam family: tRNA
About the family: Transfer RNA (tRNA) molecules are approximately 80 nucleotides in length. Their secondary structure includes four short double-helical elements and three loops (D, anti-codon, and T loops).
Source: RNAcentral